GUUGGUUAAUGAAUUUUUAAUCAUCACAAUAGGAAAUUAAUUUUCCUUUGAAGAUUAAAACCAUGUAAAUAAGGAUUUUAAUGACCUUGAGAUCAUUGGAUUAUAAAAUCCUCACAUAUAGAAAGGGGAGAUGAUAACCUUUUGAAGGAGCUUUUAAUGGCCUAGCCAAUUGCUUCUUCCCAGAUCUUCUCCCUUAUUCUCCACUAGGUGUAUUUUCUUUUCAAGAAAGUGAAAAGUAGCAAACCGUAAUUCUUAUAUAAAAUAUGCCAAUAAAGUGCAUAAUUAUAAUGCCCUAUUAGGAUUUGAAAAUUGCACAAAUUUCCUUGAACUUUAUUGUAGUAGACCAAUUAAGUCACACAUCUUUUAUUGGAGUCAAGAGAGGGACCUAACCAGACUCACAUGACUCAAGCUCCAAUAGAUAUUUUCAAUUUGGUCAACUCUUGACCAAUUGAGAUACAUUUAUUAAUCCCAGCUUAUUCUACCGAAAAAUCGAGAUUGCACUUUCGAGUCGAGUGAUAGUUAUAGAAGUAAAUUAUGAUCCAAUAACAAUAUCCUCUGAUUAUCAUUCCACAAGUCAACCCCCAUUUGACCGCCAAUAUGUUGAAACUGACAAAAUGACCGUUUUGCCCUUCAACAAGUAUUACCCCCUAAGUCCCAUUUUCAUACGGCAAAUUCAUUGUGAUCAAAUCACAAUGUAAAGUCUAACGAUCUCAUCAUCAACCUACUGAGCUCAGAUUCAAUUUGCCUAGGAAAUACCUUAGAGUGACGAUAGUCUCAUCUCAAUGAUUAAUGGAUUCCACUAUUGUAAGUAUAUGAUCUCUAAUUGUUUCAGCCCAAUUCCCAAAGUACCGAGAUCAAUCUUCUAUUUAAAACUUCACUCAUUG
This 884-nucleotide long non-coding RNA is filed under the name Olea europaea subsp. europaea. The record is from RNAcentral. Lineage: Eukaryota; Viridiplantae; Streptophyta; Magnoliopsida; Lamiales; Oleaceae.